GAUGAACGCUGGCGGCGUGCCUAAUACAUGCAAGUCGAGCGAACAGACGAGGAGCUUGCUCCUCUGACGUUAGCGGCGGACGGGUGAGUAACACGUGGAUAACCUACCUAUAAGACUGGGAUAACUUCGGGAAACCGGAGCUAAUACCGGAUAAUAUAUUGAACCGCAUGGUUCAAUAGUGAAAGACGGUUUUGCUGUCACUUAUAGAUGGAUCGGCGCCGCAUUAGCUAGUUGGUAAGGUAACGGCUUACCAAGGCAACGAUGCGUAGCCGACCUGAGAGGGUGAUCGGCCACACUGGAGCUGAGACACGGUCCAGACUCCUACGGGAGGCAGCAGUAGGGAAUCUUCCGCAAUGGGCGAAAGCCUGACGGAGCAACGCCGCGUGAGUGAUGAAGGUCUUCGGAUCGUAAAACUCUGUUAUUAGGGAAGAACAAAUGUGUAAGUAACUAUGCACGUCUUGACGGUACCUAAUCAGAAAGCCACGGCUAACUACGUG
This 497-nucleotide ribosomal RNA is filed under the name uncultured bacterium. RNAcentral's name for it is "partial 16S ribosomal RNA". It matches the Rfam family "Bacterial small subunit ribosomal RNA", at positions 28 to 507 of the family's 1533-position model. The record is from RNAcentral.